RNAcentral lists this long non-coding RNA (978 nucleotides) under Anas platyrhynchos (mallard). Its description in RNAcentral is "lncRNA (ENSAPLG00020005509.1)". The record is from RNAcentral. Lineage: Eukaryota; Metazoa; Chordata; Aves; Anseriformes; Anatidae.
GUGAAUUAGUUGUGCUGCUCUCAAUGCGUCUCAGUGCCUUUGUGCCGCGCUUGCAGCUGCAUGGAGCAGGGCAGCGAACCCUGUGUUGGGGUGGCAGUAGGAGCAGGAGAUGGGCACCGUGCUCACCCGCAGGCCAGGCACGUGCCAGAAGUCCUGUCACUGGGGAUUUUUUAAAAAUAGACUGGAUGAAACACAAGACGGUGGAUGGACAGAUCGGUCCUGCCUUGGCCGGGGGACAGCAGGUCUCCACGAAUGGCAGGUCUCAGUCUGGAACUGAUUUGACUCCAGUCACCAGAGCCGCUGCUACCAGGGAUUUUGUAAGAGUCUGCAAGGCCUUUAAUCUCUUCCCCUACAAAUAGGUACGAUGUAAAACCCAAAUCCUGACCACCUCGUGGUUACGAGUCCUGCAGCACUUCCUGCAAGAGCCAGGAGCGUGAGCCCCGGGGUCCUGGCCAAAUUCCAGCGUGGGAAUUCGCCUCUGCCCCUGGGUUCCUGCAGCAUCAGCUCCGCACUGCUCGCUGCCAGGGCCGGGCUGCAUCCUCACAGCAGCCCCUGUGCUGUGGUGCUAUGCCCCGAGAAAAAUGCAUUAUUAUUUUUUUUGUAUUUGUGUUGUUUUUCUCAUUUAGCUUGUUUAGCGAGUUAGUUUUGUUUGGUCUGUGGAAACAUGCUCCACUGCUCUCCUGCCACCAGCCCUUCGUGGAGCUGCCUCCCUGUGCUCCUAGGAUUGCUUCUCAUCGUUCUGAUGCCAAAUCCCCAGCCAGCUCACACCUGCAAAGGAGAAAUCCAGAGCAGGACAGGCAGCCCUGCUGCACCCUGCCGAGGUCUGGCCACCUCCAGCCCAGAAAUUGUCCUGGCUAAUUCCGACCUGGCACAGGGCCGAGUGUUUACGGGUUGAAACACGAAAAAGUUACUUUUUUAUUUAUUAUUUUAUUUUUUAAUUAAAAUUUUAAUUCAAUUCUGCCUGUUGUGUGAGAUGGA